CCUACGGGUGGCAGCAGUGGGGAAUCUUGGGCAAUGGGCGCAAGCCUGACCCAGCAACGCCGCGUGAAGGAAGAAGGCUUUCGGGUUGUAAACUUCUUUUCUGAGGGACGAAGAAAGUGACGGUACCUCAGGAAUAAGCCACGGCUAACUACGUGCCAGCAGCCGCGGGAAUACGUAGGUGGCAAGCGUUAUCCGGAUUUAUUGGGUGUAAAGGGCGUGUAGGCGGGAAAGCAAGUCAGAUGUGAAAACUUGGGGCUCAACCGUAAGCGUGCAUUUGAUACUGUUUUUCUUGAGUGCUGGAGAGGCAAGCGGAAUUCCGUGUGUAGCGGUGAAAUGCGUAGAUAUACGGAGGAACACCAGUGGCGAAGGCGGAUUGCUGGACAGUAACUGACGCUGAGGCGCGAAAGCGUGGGGAGCAAACAGGAUUAGAUACCCGAGUAGUC
Molecule: ribosomal RNA, 443 nt
Filed under: uncultured bacterium
Lineage: Bacteria
Description: partial 16S ribosomal RNA
Rfam family: Bacterial small subunit ribosomal RNA
Source: RNAcentral